Lontra canadensis (Northern American river otter) is the source of this 764-nucleotide long non-coding RNA. RefSeq lists it as uncharacterized. The record is from RefSeq and is a predicted model, not a curated record. NCBI's taxonomy places the organism in Eukaryota, Metazoa, Chordata, Mammalia, Carnivora, Mustelidae. The transcript is spliced from 3 exons.
CCCAGAGCCCCAGGCGGUCCUGAGCCUUGCCCCUUCUGCCGAUGGAGCCCCAUCUAGCCAUUUAGACUUUCUCUUUCAGAACUCCUCACCAAGUCAAGGCUUUCGGAUUCACUGAUAGAAGGCUCAUCUCCACAUCUGCUCUCACUUGUUGCUUCUGUGAUUAGUGACAGGAGCCUCGGCCCCUCGUACAUGUCCCAUUUGAUCCACAGCACAGGUAGGGGAAGAAGAGAAUUCAACUGACGAGCAAAAGAUGAAGUAAUUGUUGAAUGUCCUGUUCUGCACCAGCACAGCAGAGCAUACAGAAAUACAGGGCACUGUCCUGAUCUUCCAGAAACCGCCAGAUUUCUGUGACAAACCCAGAAUUCAGAAGUCAGCUGGAGGGAGCAAUGUAUUCCCAGAUUGGAGAAAAGAACAAGGAAAGGGGAAUUCCUGCCAAUCAAGCAAGCUUUUCAAGGUGUUUUUUCCUGGCCUUGGCAAAGAACACAAUUACGUACUUGAAGAUGAGAGAGAGAGUGUCCUGACUGUAAAGCACCUUGUUUACUACGGCGUCUUCUGCUCGGCACUCAGCACACUUUGCCCCUGGAGAAUGCCUUCAUUACCAGCGCAUGGCGGCCACUUGCCAGCACAGGGAGCUCGCCCCCGCGGCCUGGCUGCUAAUAAAGAAAGCACUUCAUUUACACCAGGGGAGUCUCUCCAGUCAAGUCCAUAAUAAAAGGGCAAGUCAUAGUUAGAACAGAAUUUGGUUUAUACUAUGGCAACUAUGU